GCCACUGCUAUUGGGGUUCGACUAAGCCAUGCGAGUGGAGGGCGUCCCGCAAGGGAUGGCCCCGCAGACGGCUCAGUAACACGUCGUCAACCCACCUUAGGGUGGGGGACAACCUCGGGAAACUGAGGGUAAUCCCCGAUAGACGGGAAACGCUGGAAUGCCUUCCCGUCCAAAGCUCAGGCGCCCUAGGAUGGGACUGCGGCCCAUCAGGCUGUUGGUGGUGUGACG
This 228-nucleotide ribosomal RNA is filed under the name uncultured archaeon. RNAcentral's name for it is "partial 16S ribosomal RNA". It matches the Rfam family "Archaeal small subunit ribosomal RNA", at positions 23 to 246 of the family's 1478-position model. The record is from RNAcentral.